CAGUAGCCGCGGUAAUACGAAGGGGGCUAGCGUUGCUCGGAGUGACUGGGCGUAAAGGGCGCGUAGGCGGUUUUCCAAGUUAGAUGUGAAAUUCCUGGGCUCAACCUGGGGGCUGCAUUUGAUACUGGGAGGCUUGAGUAUGGAAGAGGGUCGUGGAAUUCCCAGUGUAGAGGUGAAAUUCGUAGAUAUUGGGAAGAACACCGGUGGCGAAGGCGGCGACCUGGUCCAUAACUGACGCUGAGGCGCGAAAGCGUGGGGAGCAAACAGGAUUAGAUACCCGGGUAGUCCCUGUCUCUUAUAC
This 301-nucleotide ribosomal RNA is filed under the name uncultured bacterium. RNAcentral's name for it is "partial 16S ribosomal RNA". It matches the Rfam family "Bacterial small subunit ribosomal RNA", at positions 509 to 807 of the family's 1533-position model. The record is from RNAcentral.